AAAAAAUCAAUACACAGAAAAAAAAAUUUGAGUUUCGAAAAGGUGAUUCUUUGAUUUGGUCUGAUUUUUUAUUUUUAUUUUAUUUUUAUUUUUUCUAUUUCAGUUUCCUUCGAUUGGUUUUACUUUAGAAACGAAAAAUAAAAGAAUGGAGGAAGAGAAACGAACCUGUUAGCCGGACCUGGCCUUCUCCGUCGUCAUCGGAGUAUAGGCUAGGUUGAGGAACCGUUCGUAUGCCUUCGGUGGAAUGGCGCAGCCUUCAUCUGAUUCGC
RNAcentral lists this long non-coding RNA (269 nucleotides) under Gossypium raimondii (Peruvian cotton). RNAcentral describes it as "long non-coding RNA (GRAI_LNC010674)". The record is from RNAcentral. Lineage: Eukaryota; Viridiplantae; Streptophyta; Magnoliopsida; Malvales; Malvaceae.